AUAAUAUAUAUGAAAAAGUCAUAUAAUUUCGAUAAUAUGGUUCGAAAGUCUCUACAUUAUCACCGUAAAUGAUAAUACUAUGGUACAAUUUAAC
This 94-nucleotide non-coding RNA is filed under the name human gut metagenome. RNAcentral's name for it is "Purine riboswitch". It matches the Rfam family "Purine riboswitch aptamer". Rfam says of the family: Riboswitches are metabolite binding domains within certain messenger RNAs that serve as precision sensors for their corresponding targets. Allosteric rearrangement of mRNA structure is mediated by ligand binding, and this results in modulation of gene expression. The record is from RNAcentral.